GAUGAACGCUGGCGGCGUGCCUAAUACAUGCAAGUCGAGCGAACAGACGAGGAGCUUGCUCCUCUGACGUUAUCGGCGGACGGGUGAGUAACACGUGGAUAACCUACCUAUAAGACUGGGAUAACUUCGGGAAACCGGAGCUAAUACCGGAUAAUAUAUUGAACCGCAUGGUUCAAUAGUGAAAGACGGUUUUGCUGUCACUUAUAGAUGGAUCCGCGCCGCAUUAGCUAGUUGGUAAGGUAACGGCUUACCAAGGCAACGAUGCGUAGCCGACCUGAGAGGGUGAUCGGCCACACUGGAACUGAGACACGGUCCAGACUCCUACGGGAGGAAGCAGUAGGGAAUCUUACGCAAUGGGCGAAAGCUUGACGGAGCAACGCCGCGUGAGUGAUGAAGGUCUUCGGCUCGUAAAACUCUGUUAUUAGGGAAGAACAAAUGUGUAAGUACCUAUGCACGUCUUGACGGUACCUAAUCAGAAAGCCACGGCUAACUACGUG
This 497-nucleotide ribosomal RNA is filed under the name uncultured bacterium. Its description in RNAcentral is "partial 16S ribosomal RNA". It matches the Rfam family "Bacterial small subunit ribosomal RNA", at positions 28 to 507 of the family's 1533-position model. The record is from RNAcentral.